This is a long non-coding RNA of Melanotaenia boesemani (Boeseman's rainbowfish), 93 nucleotides long. RefSeq lists it as uncharacterized. The transcript has 2 exons. The record is from RefSeq and is a predicted model, not a curated record. Lineage: Eukaryota; Metazoa; Chordata; Actinopteri; Atheriniformes; Melanotaeniidae.
GUCCACGCGAGAUCACAAAAUCACAGGAAAUCACAGGAGAAGUGGAGAAUCUUAUGAUUCUCUACUUAUAGGAUAAACGUCCCGUCAUCUAUG